This 29-nucleotide small RNA is filed under the name Bombyx mori (domestic silkworm). Its description in RNAcentral is "ovarian small RNA-30748". Lineage: Eukaryota; Metazoa; Arthropoda; Insecta; Lepidoptera; Bombycidae. The record is from RNAcentral.
UGAACGACUAAAGAUACGGGGAUCAGUGC